Molecule: ribosomal RNA, 400 nt
Filed under: uncultured bacterium
Lineage: Bacteria
Description: bacterial SSU rRNA
Rfam family: Bacterial small subunit ribosomal RNA
Source: RNAcentral
UAGGGAAUAUUGGGCAAUGGUCGGAAGACUGACCCAGCCAUGCCGCGUGCAGGAAGAAGGUUCUCAGAACUGUAAACUGCUUUAGAAGGGGAAGAAAAAGCACCUGCGGGUGAAAUUGACGGUACCCUUAGAAUAAGCACCGGCUAACUCCGUGCCAGCAGCCGCGGUAAUACGGGGGGUGCAAGCGUUGUCCGGAUUUAUUGGGUUUAAAGGGUGCGUAGGCGGUUUUCUAAGUCAGUGUUAAAAUACAGCAGCUUAACUGUUGAACUGGCACUGAUACUGGAGAACUUGAGUGUGGUUGAGGUUGGCGGAAUUUAUGGUGUAGCGGUGAAAUGCAUAGAUACCAUAAAGAACACCGAUAGCGAAGGCAGCUAACCAAGUCAUAACUGACGCUGAGGCA